GUCAUAUACAUGCUAUACCUUGAGAAAUACAGCUACUAAAAACGUGAAUGCUCCAAAUCUAAAAAGGAAAUUAAGAGAUUGGGACCAAUUUGAACCCACAUCCCUGUAGGGUCACUCUGGGCACUGACUUCUGCUAACC
Molecule: long non-coding RNA, 139 nt
Filed under: Cricetulus griseus (Chinese hamster)
Lineage: Eukaryota; Metazoa; Chordata; Mammalia; Rodentia; Cricetidae
Description: lncRNA (ENSCGRG00000025823.1)
Source: RNAcentral